RNAcentral lists this ribosomal RNA (341 nucleotides) under Chiletricha spinulosa. RNAcentral describes it as "partial 16S ribosomal RNA". Lineage: Eukaryota; Metazoa; Arthropoda; Insecta; Diptera; Rangomaramidae. The record is from RNAcentral.
UUUUUUAAUUGAAAACUUGUAUGAAUGGUUGAACGAAAUAUUAACUGUUUCAAAUAAAUUUAUUAAAAUUUUAUUUUUUAGUUAAAAAGCUAAAAUAUUAUUAGAGGACGAGAAGACCCUAUAGAGUUUUAUAUUUACGUUUUUAUAAUUUAUUAAGAAUAGUUUAAAUUUAUAAAUAUAAAUAUUUUAUUGGGGUGAUAAUAAAAUUUAAUAAACUUUUAUAUAUAUUAAUAACAUUAAUAAAUGAGUGAUUGAUCCAGUUUUAUUGAUUAAAAAUUUAAAUUACCUUAGGGAUAACAGCGUAAUUUUUUUUUAGAGUUCAUAUCGAUAAAAAUGUUUGC